CGCGUAGGUGGUUUGGUAAGAUGGAUGUGAAAUCCCCGGGCUCAACCUGGGAACUGCAUCCAUGACUGCCUGACUAGAGUACGGUAGAGGGUGGUGGAAUUUCCUGUGUAGCGGUGAAAUGCGUAGAUAUAGGAAGGAACACCAGUGGCGAAGGCGACCACCUGGACUGAUACUGACACUGAGGUGCGAAAGCGUGGGGAGCAAACA
This 207-nucleotide ribosomal RNA is filed under the name uncultured bacterium. RNAcentral describes it as "partial 16S ribosomal RNA". It matches the Rfam family "Bacterial small subunit ribosomal RNA", at positions 568 to 774 of the family's 1533-position model. The record is from RNAcentral.